AGAGUUUUAUAUUGUAUAGUGGUAUGUUGUAACUUUUUGAUUUACAUUAGAACAAGCGGAAUUGUUUUUCUUGUUAUUUAAUGAUCGUAGAAAAACUCGUAUCGUUUGAUCAAAUGAUGGAUUCUUGGUCCGAAAAUUUCUGCAGUACUUAUAGAACUUUUCAAUUCUUCUUGAAUGUACAAUCAAUAGUAGAAGAAAUUUCUGUGUAAUAGCUGUGAUUCCUCGAAUGCAGUCAAUUGUUUAGACUGGUAGUUCCUUGAUCUUUUAUGUAUGAAAAUGGAACAGCUUUUUUUUCGUGUGUCCCUUGUAGCGUAGAUUUUUACGAAAUUUGUCUUGAAGACUUCUUCGUUUUCGAUUGUUCUUUUAAUUGAAGAAAAAGUAUAAAAAUCAGCACAAUUGGCUUCUUUUUAUUAAUUCAUCUUCCAAUUCAUGUACGACUAUUCAUGUGUAUGCCAUUUAUUGAUCAAUCAAUCAUCGUCUCGAGUAGAAUAUUGCUUAGCAGCAAUUAAAUUUUUGAGGCAUAUUGGACAUAGGUUCCAUCUUUGCGUAACUCGUUCUAGAAAACUGAGGAACGAGAAAAGAGUUACUCCGAAGAGUUCUGCGUCUGACGUUUAUAUUCAGUUGUUCGAAAAGACUAGGACAGUGGUGGGAUGUAGGGACCAGUUUGAGAAUCACUGAUCCAACCCAUAACUUAGUAACUCAAGUCCGAUCAGGUUACAUAUGUGUUCGUUCCUAGGAUUGUGAGGGUCUCGCAAUGGAAGCUGAUGAAGGGCAAUUCGUAUAAACUUAUACUGCACAGCUUCAAUACAUUGUUUCCCUUUAUGAUACUGUAGCAAUCACGUGGUUUCAAUUAAAAAGUUUGCUUCCGUCACUUCGAUAUGGUUGCCUAGCUUAUCGAUUAAGCUUUCUUUCCCUACCUAAAGUUGGAAGAAUGAACAUCGGGCGGCAAUUUAGAAUGCGCCGCUUGCGUAGAUGCCGAUUGCCUAUUCUCUCCAAUUCUGUCUCUCUUUGCUGUAUCGUGACCUUUGGACUCGCGAAGCGACGAUGCGACUUACUUUUCAUGUUCUUGAUAUUCAAACAUUGACCCGAAGUUCGUUGAUUUGGGGAUAUGAGACGGUUAGAUGUGGACUACUAAAGGGAAAACGAGAAUUCGGUUCGGUUCUGAGUAGUCCAAUAUGGGUUCGUAAUGCGAUUUCCGGUUUCUUAAAUCCAAAAUCUCGUAUCUGAGGAUUAACAGUUUCUCUGAUCAAUCAUUUCAAUUUGAUCAGUGGAAGAGAUCAGAGUGGUUAAAUUUGUGUAGUUCGUGUUCGAAACAGGUAUUAGCGCAGUUAGGAGUUAGUUGAAAGUGCGGAGACUUUGCGUGCAAGUGCGAAGACCAUCAAAAGCCGUACGACGGCUUUUAAUUUCAGAUUUUGCGCUUGGUGAAGCUACAACCGCACCGCCAGCAAAGUUCAUCCGUCCUCCUGCCACCACGCCUGAUCCAUCUGCUCGUGACCGUAUGGUUAGUUACCAUCAAAACGAAGGACACAACGAUUCCACGUGUCAUCUGCGGCCAUCGCAAAUUCGCCGCGUGCCGGACUCUGCUCCGUUUUUUGUUGCUGGUAUGCUGUUUUGAGGUCCAACACUACCAGCAGUUACCCUUCAACCCGAGGACCUCACCCGGAGAAUCUGCGCUAGGAAGCGCAAAUAUCGACAGCGACACAUCUGCGCGGAAUUAGUACCGUGCGCAGCAAUACGACGUAGCAGGUAGCAGAAAGAAGGCUGGUCGACUAAUAAGAGUGAGUAAACGCCUAAAUCCCUGCGCAGGGUGAUAUAAAAGCUCCGAAAUUAUAGUACCGUCCAGAAUCUCCACCCGCACUUGCUAGGGCCCUGAACCGGGAAAUAAAAAAUGUAAUUUUUUUCGUAUGUAGGAAAUGUAAUUAGGAGUAAGUUAGGAUAAUAUAUGUAGUGUGUCGAAUUAAUGUUCGAAUAUAGUUUAGUAACUAGGAAAUUCGAAUAAAUGUUUGAAUUUAAAUAGAAACCGUUAGGUGUUUGUUGGUCGAAUAAAUGUUCGAUAGUGAUUCACGUUCUUAAGAUUAUGUGUUGUCAUUUGAAGUAAUAUUCCGGUAGUUUUGUCUCUUUAAAGGGUCUCUGGUUCGCGGUCGUUUCGUUAAUAGUUUGUGUUUCAGUACUCUGGGUUGGACUGCUCGGGAAAACAGUCCCCACUCUGGUUUCUUCGCUGGCUAUUAUUUGGUUGUUCUUAGGGGUUCUGCCAGUGAGGAAUCUGCGAGUUGGUUGGGAAAAUCGGUUGUUUAUUCGCGGAUUCGUUAGGUGAUUAUUAGGGAUCGACCUUUGACUCGGAGUACCCUUUGAUGUUUGCGUCUUCCGUUUCGUUUUCCCCAAGAUUAUUGUAAUCUGACCCGCUCUGAGGCGGAGUUUCUAGUCGGGCAACCUUGAACGUGACAAGUGGUCCUCGUAAGAGGUGGCGCUUAAGCCACUUGUUCGUAGAUCUGGGAAACGAUACAGCAGACAGUUCCGUUACACCGUAGUGCACGCUACAUUUUGGCGCCCAACGUGGGGCACGUUAUCUGGAAAUCAAUGAGAUUAGUUUGGGUUCCAAGAUUGGAAUUAUGUUUAUACUUCGGAUAUAUCGAUUAGACGCAUAAUCGUUCUGUUAAAUUCAAUGUUGUAUUUUCUAGAGUGGUAAUUGCUGCGAGGAAAUAUUUGUUGUACGGUAGCUAAAGUGUAAUCGUGGAUGUUGUGUGUAGUUGUAGGUGUAUAGUGUAGGCAUAUUUAAAAUUUUAUUGGCGGUAAUGGCUUACGAAU
This is a long non-coding RNA of Malaya genurostris, 2805 nucleotides long. RefSeq lists it as uncharacterized. The transcript has 3 exons. The record is from RefSeq and is a predicted model, not a curated record. Lineage: Eukaryota; Metazoa; Arthropoda; Insecta; Diptera; Culicidae.